UCGUAAUCAUAAUCGAAAUUUUAAGAACACACUAUGUACCUUUGACUAAAUUUAUUAACAUUUCUCAACCUAAGCCUUUAGAUUUGAAAUGAAGCAUAAUAUUCUCUCCCUUAAUUAUAGCAAAACAACUUUACAACCCUUACGACUUUGCAAGGUAUAACUCUUGUUUUCUAUAAUUAAUAUUGCCAACUUGCAAUACGUGCCUUAAUAAUCAUACAAUCAUAACAUUUAUGCUCCCACUAUCAUGAUGAUUAUUAUAAAACAUAACACUUAUGCUCCCACUAGCUUCGACAUGUAUUCAUAAACAUCUUAACUUUCAGAAAAACAAUGCUUAUUGAAUUUCUUAAGUUCAUGUUUCUCAUACUUAGUGCUUUGAUAAUCUUUUAUCAAGGCUUCUUGAACUUAUACACCUUUGCCUUCGAUAGUUCAUAUGUGUGUCUAAACACUUAAGACUAAUUGCCAAACCUCACAAUUCAAAUUAUGGAAAGGGAUACCGUAACCAUAAUCGAAUUCGAGAAUGCAAUUUUACAAUCACUAUCUUCUAAAAUCUUUCUUAGUGAAAGCAUUUCCUCACAAUCAUUUUCAUGAAGGAGGAAAUCUUAUGACACUUAGAUUUAAACGGUGUAUUUGUUCCUAUCCAUGUGAAUUUGUUAAAAACAAAGUUUACGACAAAUUCAAACUCAUAUGGAUCGAACUUUCUUAAUCUCGAUUUCUUGCCUUAUGGUAGCACAGCUGCCCACCAUGUCUUCCAAGUAGUUAAGCAGCUCACCUUUUCUUAUCAAUGUACUUUCCAUUGAUCAAGGUCCUUGCCUUUUAUGCAUUCAAAUGAGAACUCAUAGGAUUCACAUGCAUAAUUAACUCGAUUGGAUUGGCACAGAAACAAAAUAAUGUCAACACGAUAGGUUGUAAACCUCAACUCGUGUGCUAGUGAUGAUCGAUAAGGUUUAUUUGAUUUGUUCUUGAAACCUUUCAAGACCAUUAAGGCUCCCACUAACUCCUUGACAUAUAAGAUUCUUUUGUCAAUAAACAUUUCUUGACAAACAAAUAUUCAAGAGUUAGCGUAGCUUUUAUCAAAACACUUCAUAAAUUGGUCCUAGUCGGUCUUUGUCUUACUCAAGACAUCACAACUUUCCACAUUUGAUGAAUGUUGUAAGCCUUUAAUACUUUUCACUCAUUAUCAAAGACAUCACAACUUUCCACAUUUGAUGAAUGUUGUAAACCUUUAAUACUUUUCACUCAUUAUCACAAUCUUAAUUUUAAGACUUGUUAUUGGGAUGAAAUAUGAUUGACUUCUUGAUUUAACCAUUUCCUCAAUCCUUGAUUCCUCUUCUUAGACAUACAAUUGUACUAAGACUCACUUAGAGGAUCAAUUGAGAUAUGGUUCUUAAUCAUUAAGACCUAUCAUAAAGCAUAAAAGCUACUCUCCCUUCUUCUUAGAAUGGAGAAACUUUUAUCUUUCUGCCUACUUGAUUCUUCUUAUUCGUUUUGCUAUUGAUUUAAACCUUUUUAAUCAAUUCAGAAUUACACUUAAUCUUAUAAGUAUAAUCAUAUUUACUAAACCUUUAGUAAAUCAUGACGAAUAUCUUUGUUACUCUUAUGGUGGACUUGAUCAACACGCAACUUUGUGUAUUCGAUCUCCAAGUCCUUCACUUGACACUUUGUCAAUGAAUUAGUCUAAUUUUCAAAUAUGAAAUUUCUCAUUCAUCGUGCAACCAAGUUGCAUGAUUCCAAGUUUCUGUCCAAUUGAAACUUGGGCGAUGAGAAACUCUCCCUAUUUGGUAAAUUCUCGACUUUCCAUAAAUAACAUAAUAAGAACCAAAUCCAUUAUUGCUAAUAAUAGAAACAUUCAAACAUCAAUUUUUCAUAUACGCCAUUGCAAGGAUAAAUAAAUAAUAUAAAAUCAAAAUUUAUUUUAUUGCGGAAAAAUUUUGUCCUUACAAUGCAAUUCAUUGAAAAACUAUGCUAAUACAUCUUUCUUAGCAAUCUAAUUCUAACUCUAAGUAGUAGCUCAAGAAUCUAAUCUUCGAGAAAUGCGAUCGAAAUCCAUUCCUUCACGGUUAGAUUCUGCUCACUUCUUCCUUUAAGCUUCCUUUCUUUUCUUCGAUCCUACAAAACAUCAAUUGUAAUCUUAU
Molecule: long non-coding RNA, 2132 nt
Filed under: Lactuca sativa (garden lettuce)
Lineage: Eukaryota; Viridiplantae; Streptophyta; Magnoliopsida; Asterales; Asteraceae
Description: long non-coding RNA (LSAT_LNC002675)
Source: RNAcentral